RNAcentral lists this ribosomal RNA (2292 nucleotides) under human gut metagenome. RNAcentral's name for it is "bacterial LSU rRNA". It matches the Rfam family "Bacterial large subunit ribosomal RNA", at positions 3 to 2321 of the family's 2925-position model. The record is from RNAcentral.
UUAAGCUAAGAAGAGCGUAGGGAGAAUGCCUUGGCAUUAGGAGCCGACGAAGGACGUGAUAAGCUGCGAUAAGCUGCGGGGAUCAGCAAGUAUGAAUUGAUCCGCAGAUUUCCGAAUGGAGCAAUCCGUAUGUGUAUGCACAUACAUCAUAUACUGAAUCAAAUAGGUAUAUGAGGGGAACCGCCUGAACUGAAACAUCUAAGUAGGGCGAGGAAGAGAAAUCAACUGAGAUUCCGUAAGUAGUGGCGAGCGAACGCGGAAGAGGCCAAACCGAGAGUAGUAAUACUUUCGGGGUUCGGACAGAAUACGGCAUUGUAAAGGUUUAGUGGAAUGGAAUGGGAAGUCCAACCGAAGAAGGUGAGAGUCCUGUACACGAAAAGCCUGAACAGCCAUCUGUAUCCAGAGUACCGCCGGACACGUGAAACCCGGUGGGAAUAUGGGGGGACCAUCCUCCAAGCCUAAAUACUACUCGGUGACCGAUAGUGAAGAAGUACUGUGAAGGAAAGGUGAAAAGUACCCCUGACGGGGAGUGAAAAAGAACCUGAAACCUUGUGUUUACAAGCACCGAAAGCUCAUCAAAGAGCGAUCGGGUACCUUUUGUAGAAUGGUCCGGCGAGUGAAUGUAACCGGCGAGGUUAAGCACUUAAGGUGUGAAGCCGCAGCGAGAGCAAGUCUGAAUAGGGCGUAUGAAGUCGGUUGUAUUCGACCCGAAACCGGGUGACCUACCCAUGGUCAGGUUGAAGUAAAGGUAAAACUUUAUGGAGGACCGAACCGACUCCCGUUGAAAUGGUAGCGGAUGAACUGUGGGUAGCGGAGAAAUUCCAAUCGAACCCGGAGAUAGCUGGUUCUCUCCGAAAUAGCUUUAGGGCUAGCCUUGAAAUAGAUUACCGGAGGUAAAGCACUGAAUUGGCUAGGGGCCGAGAGGUUACUGAACCCUAUCAAACUAAGAAUGCCGGAUAAUCGUUUUUCAGGAGUCAGACAGUGGGAGAUAAGUUUCAUUGUCAAAAGGGAAACAGCCCAGACCCACAGCUAAGGUCCCCAAGUAUAGUUAAGUGGAAAAGGAUGUGGAAUUGCACAGACAACCAGGAUGUUGGCUUAGAAGCAGCCACUCAUUUAAAGAGUGCGUAAUAGCUCACUGGUCGAGUGAUCCUGCGCCGAAAAUUUCCGGGGCUAAAACGUACUACCGAAGCUACGGCAUCAUUUAUGAUGGGUAGGGGAGCUUCGUAUGCAGGCUGAAGCAUGACCGUAAGGACAUGUGGACAGUAUACGAGUGAGAAUGUUGGCAUGAGUAGCGAGACGUGGGUGAGAAUCCCACGGGCCGUAAACCCAAGGUUUCCAGGGGAAGGUUCGUCCGCCCUGGGUUAGUCGGGACCUAAGCCGAGGCCGAAAGGCGUAGGUGAUGGACAACAGGUUGAUAUUCCUGUACCGCCAAUAAGCGUUUGAGAGAUGGAGUGACACAGUAGGAUAAGCUAACCGUACUGUUGGUUAUGUACGGCUAAGCAUUGAGGCAGUCUAAAUAGGCAAAUCCGUUUAGACAAUGCUAGGAUGUGAUGGGGAAGCCCUUCGGGGCGAAGUAGCUGAUUUCACACUGUCAAGAAAAGCUUCUAUCGAGUUUAAAGGCGCCCGUACCGUAAACCGACACAGGUGGUCGAGGAGAGUAUCCUAAGGCCAGCGAGAGAACUAUUGUUAAGGAACUCGGCAAAAUGACCCCGUAACUUAGGGAGAAGGGGUGCCUGUCUAUGACAGGCCGCAGAGAAUAGGCCCAAGCGACUGUUUACCAAAAACACAGGUUUCUGCUAAGUCGCAAGACGAUGUAUAGGAGCUGACGCCUGCCCGGUGCUGGAAGGUUAAGGGGAUCUGUUAGAGCAAUCGAAGCAGUGAACUUAAGCCCCAGUAAACGGCGGCCGUAACUAUAACGGUCCUAAGGUAGCGAAAUUCCUUGUCGGGUAAGUUCCGACCCGCACGAAAGGCGUAAUGAUUUGAGCACUGUCUCGACAAUGCAUCCGGUGAAAUUGAAGUACCAGUGAAGAUGCUGGUUACCUGCGCCAGGACGGAAAGACCCCAUGGAGCUUUACUCCAGCUUGAUACUGGGAUUCGAUACUGUAUGUACAGGAUAGGUGGGAGACGUUGAGCAUAGAACGCCAGUUUUAUGUGAGUCGCUGUUGGGAUACCACCCUUGCAGUAUUGGAUUUCUAACCUGCACCCAUGACCUGGGUGGGGGACAAUGUCUGGCGGGGAGUUUGACUGGGGCGGUCGCCUCCGAAAGGGUAUCGGAGGCGCUCAAAGGUUCCC